RNAcentral lists this ribosomal RNA (253 nucleotides) under uncultured bacterium. RNAcentral describes it as "partial 16S ribosomal RNA". It matches the Rfam family "Bacterial small subunit ribosomal RNA", at positions 524 to 776 of the family's 1533-position model. The record is from RNAcentral.
UACGUAGGGGGCAAGCGUUAUCCGGAUUUACUGGGUGUAAAGGGAGCGUAGACGGCCAGACAAGUCUGAAGUGAAAAUCCAGCGCUUAACGUUGGAAGUGCUUUGGAAACUGCCGGGCUGGAGUGCAGGAGGGGCAGGCGGAAUUCCUAGUGUAGCGGUGAAAUGCGUAGAUAUUAGGAGGAACACCAGUGGCGAAGGCGGCCUGCUGGACUGCAACUGACGUUGAGGCUCGAGGGCGUGGGGAGCAAACAGG